RNAcentral lists this ribosomal RNA (368 nucleotides) under Streptomyces sp. WPS017. RNAcentral's name for it is "bacterial SSU rRNA". It matches the Rfam family "Bacterial small subunit ribosomal RNA", at positions 99 to 481 of the family's 1533-position model. The record is from RNAcentral. Lineage: Bacteria; Bacillati; Actinomycetota; Actinomycetes; Kitasatosporales; Streptomycetaceae.
CGAACGGGUGAGUAACACGUGGGCAAUCUGCCCUGCACUCUGGGACAAGCCCUGGAAACGGGGUCUAAUACCGGAUAUGAGCCUGGGAGGCAUCUCCUGGGUUGUAAAGCUCCGGCGGUGCAGGAUGAGCCCGCGGCCUAUCAGCUUGUUGGUGAGGUAACGGCUCACCAAGGCGACGACGGGUAGCCGGCCUGAGAGGGCGACCGGCCACACUGGGACUGAGACACGGCCCAGACUCCUACGGGAGGCAGCAGUGGGGAAUAUUGCACAAUGGGCGCAAGCCUGAUGCAGCGACGCCGCGUGAGGGAUGACGGCCUUCGGGUUGUAAACCUCUUUCAGCAGGGAAGAAGCGCAAGUGACGGUACCUG